CUUUGUAUAAUCAAAUUGACAGAGUUUUGGCGCUUUUGAACUUAUGUAUUUCUAUCUACAAUCUUCAAGUCUUCACUCCUUUAUAUAGAGGCGUGAAAGAGACGUUGAGAUAAUCAGCACGUCUAAAGAGUCGUUUGAAAUCCUUUGAUUAUCCACCAGUGAUCCUUUGCCUGAUUUGGGUGUAGUCCUUUGAAGAAUAAGCUUCAAAUUCAUUCCCAUCUUGAACGUACAAAUUCUGCAGGCAUGGCUGUUGUUUUGUCUUGUAGCGUAGACAGAAAACAGAGUAGUGGAGGUAGUGGUUGUACACUUGUACUUUGUCAACUCUAUUAACGAGAGACAAGUGCUCAGUGCUAUCCAUAUAUCCGUUGAUACCUCCCUUUCAAUUCUUCGUUCUUCUUGGAUAAGACUGAAUUGAG
Molecule: long non-coding RNA, 416 nt
Filed under: Medicago truncatula (barrel medic)
Lineage: Eukaryota; Viridiplantae; Streptophyta; Magnoliopsida; Fabales; Fabaceae
Description: long non-coding RNA (MTRU_LNC002590)
Source: RNAcentral